RNAcentral lists this ribosomal RNA (499 nucleotides) under uncultured bacterium. Its description in RNAcentral is "bacterial SSU rRNA". It matches the Rfam family "Bacterial small subunit ribosomal RNA", at positions 29 to 507 of the family's 1533-position model. The record is from RNAcentral.
ACGAACGCUGGCGGCGUGCCUAAUACAUGCAAGUCGAGCGGAAUGAUGAAGAAGCUUGCUUCUUCUGAUUUUAGCGGCGGACGGGUGAGUAACACGUGGGCAACCUACCUUGUAGAUUGGGAUAACUCCGGGAAACCGGGGCUAAUACCGAAUAAUCCAUUUUGCUUCAUGGCGAGAUGUUGAAAGACGGUUUCGGCUGUCACUACAAGAUGGGCCCGCGGCGCAUUAGCUAGUUGGUAGGGUAAUGGCCUACCAAGGCGACGAUGCGUAGCCGACCUGAGAGGGUGAUCGGCCACAUUGGGACUGAGACACGGCCCAGACUCCUACGGGAGGCAGCAGUAGGGAAUCUUCCACAAUGGACGAAAGUCUGAUGGAGCAACGCCGCGUGAGUGAAGAAGGUUUUCGGAUCGUAAAACUCUGUUGUAAGGGAAGAACACGUACGAGAGUAACUGCUCGUACCUUGACGGUACCUUAUUAGAAAGCCACGGCUAACUACGUG